RNAcentral lists this ribosomal RNA (253 nucleotides) under uncultured bacterium. RNAcentral describes it as "partial 16S ribosomal RNA". It matches the Rfam family "Bacterial small subunit ribosomal RNA", at positions 524 to 776 of the family's 1533-position model. The record is from RNAcentral.
UACGUAGGGUGCAAGCGUUAAUCGGAAUUACUGGGCGUAAAGCGUGCGCAGGCGGUUUUGUAAGUCUGUCGUGAAAGCCCCGAGCUUAACUUGGGAAUUGCGCUCGAAACUACGUGGCUGGAGUGUGGCAGAGGAAGGUGGAAUUCCACGUGUAGCGGUGAAAUGCGUAGAGAUGUGGAGGAACACCGAUGGCGAAGGCAGCCUUCUGGGCCAACACUGACGCUCAUGCACGAAAGCGUGGGGAGCAAACAGG